Molecule: ribosomal RNA, 253 nt
Filed under: uncultured bacterium
Lineage: Bacteria
Description: partial 16S ribosomal RNA
Rfam family: Bacterial small subunit ribosomal RNA
Source: RNAcentral
GACGGAAGGUGCAAGCGUUGCUCGGAACCACUGGGCGUAAAGGGUGCGUAGGCGGCCGCGCAAGUCUGGCGUGAAAGCCCCGGGCUCAGCCCGGGAAGGGCGCUCGAAACGGCGCGGCUCGAGUGCCGGAGGGGAGAGUGGAAUUCCUGGUGUAGCGGUGAAAUGCGUAGAUAUCAGGAAGAAUACCGGUGGCGAAAGCGACUCUCUGGACGGCAACUGACGCUGAGGCACGAAAGCGUGGGGAGCAAACAGG